UUGGGCGUAAAGAGCUUGUAGGCGGUUUGUCGCGUCUGCUGUGAAAGACCGGGGCUUAACCUCGGUAUUGCAGUGGGUACGGGCAGACUAGAGUGCAGUAGGGGAGACUGGAAUUCCUGGUGUAGCGGUGAAAUGCGCAGAUAUCAGGAGGAACACCGAUGGCGAAGGCAGGUCUCUGGGCUGUAACUGACGCUGAGAAGCGAAAGCAUGGGGAGCGAACAGGAUUAGAUACCCUGGUAGUCCAUGCCGUAAACGUUGGGCACUAGGUGUGGGGGACAUUCCACGUUUUCCGCGCCGUAGCUAACGCAUUAAGUGCCCCGCCUGGGGAGUACGGCCGCAAGGCUAAAACUCAAAGGAAUUGACGGGGGCCCGCACAAGCGGCGGAGCAUGCGGAUUAAUUCGAUGCAACGCGAAGAACCUUACCAAGGCUUGACAUAUACUGGAUCGUCGUAGAGAUACGGUUUCCCUUUGGGCUGGUAUACAGGUGGUGCAUGGUUGUCGUCAGCUCGUGUCGUGAGAUGUUGGGUUAAGUCCCGCAACGAGCGCAACCCUCGUUCUAUGUUGCCAGCACGUGAUGGUGGGGACUCAUAGGAGACUGCCGGGGUCAACUCGGAGGAAGGUGGGGAUGACGUCAAAUCAUCAUGCCCCUUAUGUCUUGGGCUUCACGCAUGCUACAAUGGCCGGUACAAAGGGUUGCGAUACUGUGAGGUUGAGCUAAUCCCAAAAAGCCGGUCUCAGUUCGGAUUGGGGUCCGCAACUCGACCCCAUGAAGUCGGAGUCGCUAGUAAUCGCAGAUCAGCA
Molecule: ribosomal RNA, 801 nt
Filed under: uncultured bacterium
Lineage: Bacteria
Description: bacterial SSU rRNA
Rfam family: Bacterial small subunit ribosomal RNA
Source: RNAcentral